UACGUAGGGUGCAAGCGUUAAUCGGAAUUACUGCGCGUAAAGCGUGCGCAGGCGGUUUUGUAAGUCUGAUGUGAAAUCCCCGGGCUCAACCUGGGAAUUGCAUUGGAGACUGCAAGGCUAGAAUCUGGCAGAGGGGGGUAGAAUUCCACGUGUAGCAGUGAAAUGCGUAGAGAUGUGGAGGAACAACGAUGGAGAAGGCAGCC
Molecule: ribosomal RNA, 203 nt
Filed under: uncultured bacterium
Lineage: Bacteria
Description: partial 16S ribosomal RNA
Rfam family: Bacterial small subunit ribosomal RNA
Source: RNAcentral